Long non-coding RNA from Acanthopagrus latus (yellowfin seabream), 1001 nucleotides. RefSeq lists it as uncharacterized. The transcript is spliced from 3 exons. The record is from RefSeq and is a predicted model, not a curated record. Lineage: Eukaryota; Metazoa; Chordata; Actinopteri; Spariformes; Sparidae.
CUCAUUCGCCAGUAUGUAAACAUACAGCAGGUCAAUUUGUCGAUUAACCGUUUGGUUUGUCUCAACACGUGCACAUUACAGAUGCAAUAUUUUAACAGGCAGCUAACUCAUUGGAUUACCAUAAAAGGAUUGGUUCAGAUGUUGAUAAGAUAAGCGGAGGUUUAUUAAGGGAGAAGUCUUUUCAGCUUUCAGUCAGAGACGGGGCGUUAGUAUUGAUCACUUCCAGACUGACACCACAAGACAGAGAGACAAAAUGAAGGUCAUUCUCCUGACUACCAUCAUCCUCGCUCUGGUCCCUGCCAGUAUGUUACUGCCCUGUGUGAAUAAAAGACCCCAACAGGCAUAUGAUGAUUUUGUCCACAGACAUAUUCCCUCGAAGACGUUUGACAGAACCUCCGAGAAAGAAUGGGCAAAGUACCUGCAGAGUCAGAAUCUCUGUGGCAGAGAACCAAAGCAGUCCUUCAUCAACGCCCCGCAGACUGAAGUCGACAAGAUCUGUAGUAAGGAUGGCCGACGCAAGGAGCUCAACUUGUGCAUGAGCAAAAACCCUAUGGAUGUUUAUGUCAUCAGUUCCCAAUUUGUAGGACAGGUUUGCAGCGUCCAAUCGAUAUUAAAGCAGUCUCAGUUUGUGACUGUAGCAUGUGAUAAUGUUGAAAACCUCUGCCGCCCUGUCCAUUUUGACAAAUACGCUGAUCAGUUACCAGGACGAAGAUCCUGCAUAUAACCUGAGAUGAACCCACAUUGUCGGAGGGUUAGUGCAGCCCUGUUUCCAGCUGUCAGGCUAAUUACUCCCUGACGUUUAAAGGUUCAAACGAGCCCAGCUGAUUGAAUGAAUCUGUGUUUUUUAGCCACGCCUUCUCUCAGAUACGUCUCAGAGCCUGCUUCAGAAACAUUUUGUGUGAUGAGCAUGAUGUUGUAAGAAAUUCUCCCAUAUUAAAAUUAAUAUGCUGUGACAAGGUUUCCAUUUAAAGGUGCAAUAUGUGAGAAUUAUAGUUCAAAAC